RNAcentral lists this ribosomal RNA (384 nucleotides) under uncultured bacterium. Its description in RNAcentral is "bacterial SSU rRNA". It matches the Rfam family "Bacterial small subunit ribosomal RNA", at positions 30 to 416 of the family's 1533-position model. The record is from RNAcentral.
AUUGAACGCUGGCGGCAUGCCUUACACAUGCAAGUCGAACGGCAGCACGGGGCAACCUGGUGGCGAGUGGCGAACGGGUGAGUAAUGCAUCGGAACGUGCCAUUGAGUGGGGGAUAACGUAGCGAAAGUUGCGCUAAUACCGCAUAUUCUGUGAGCAGGAAAGCAGGGGACCGCAAGGUCUUGCGCUCUUUGAGCGGCCGAUGUCAGAUUAGCUAGUUGGUGAGGUAACGGCUUACCAAGGCGACGAUCUGUAGCGGGUCUGAGAGGAUGAUCCGCCACACUGGAACUGAGACACGGUCCAGACUCCUACGGGAGGCAGCAGUGGGGAAUUUUGGACAAUGGGCGCAAGCCUGAUCCAGCCAUGCCGCGUGAGUGAAGAAGGCC